RNAcentral lists this long non-coding RNA (2099 nucleotides) under Equus caballus (horse). Its description in RNAcentral is "lncRNA (ENSECAG00000045338.1)". Lineage: Eukaryota; Metazoa; Chordata; Mammalia; Perissodactyla; Equidae. The record is from RNAcentral.
UCAGACACAAAGGAUGUUCCACAAAGAUUCCCAAGGGCAAAACUGAGGACAUCUUUUCACAGCUAAUGGGUGGUGGUCAGGACUCCUGCGUCCCAUUCUUCUACUUCCUGGGUGAGCAUCUCCCUCAUCCACAUCUCCCUAACCCAGCUUAACUCCACCUAACAGCCUAUCCAUCCCAGAAUGGGUGACAAGUCCUUCUUAGCCAUCUGAUAGAAGGGAGACCUGGGUUUUAGUCCAUCCCUCUGUUAAAUAGCUGACCUCAGGUAACUGAUGUUACAGCUGAGGCUCCCACAACACCAUCUGUGGAAUCACGCUCCAGGGGGCUCCAGGUCCCGGCUCCUCCACUUCCAACCAGAGUGAUAAAGACAGGGAACUUGCCACGUGGUGGUUAGGAUAUGGUCUUCAGAGUGAGACAGGCUUGAGGUGGGCUUUGUCGCUUACUAGCUGCCCAACCUCAGGCAGGAUUCUCACUCUCUGAGCCUCAAUUUCUCAUCUAUAAAACGGCUCAGAAAAUUACCUAAAUUGUUGUUGGGAGGAUUCAGUGAAUUAUGUUUAAAAAGAGCUGAGCCUUGUGCCUGGCACAUGAGUGCUCAAUAAAUGUUAAUAGCGCAACAGUUUUCAUUACUAGAACGGGCUUCCAGAUAAGAUUUUACUUGGACUAAGAGUUCCGUGUGUAUAUGUGUGGUGUGUUCACUGGACUAAAGAACCUUUAAACCCCUCCCUAGCUCCAAAUUCUUUCUCAAACAAUAAAGUCCCAUCUAACACCCUUCUAUUCUUCCCUGUUCCCUCACUCAUUUUCUUUCCCUUAAUCUUCUUUUUCCCUCCCAAGAAUUAAGCAGCCUCUCCAGAAUUUCAUCACUUCUUGUUCCCUACUCAAAUUUAACAUCCUCUGGUUUUUAACGCAAAAAUGGAAAGAGUAAGUCCACACAAUCAGAGGUGCGUUAGUGAUUUAUAAAGGCACUCAUCAGGCUGACAUCCCAACUCCUCACCCACUCCAUUCCCAGGGGCCCUCCAGUCCUUUGGACCACAGCAUGAGGAUGCAAAGACCCUCAGCCAAGGCCAGCCAUCCAGGGUGCAUAUGGCUGGAGACUAGAUCGGAGUAAGGCUCAGAGAGGCUGCAUUAGGUGAGACCUAGGAGGUGGAGAGUUCCUUCAGAGAGUCUGGAGAAAAGAGGGGCUGGGGCUGCUCUGCAGGCCCUCUGAAAACUCAAAGCCCUUCCCCUUUCUAUAUACAGUGCCAAGGAAGAAAAGACUUUUGAAAUGAAACAAAUCUACCAAAUGUAAGAAAUACACCAAAAUGCUAGCAGUGGUUGACCUAAUAGGCUUUUUUGGUAAAUGUGGUCAUAUUACUUGUGUAACAAAAUUUAAAUAUUUAAAAUUAAUUAUUCUAAUCAGUUGCACUCAGCCAAGAAAACAGACAAGAACCUAGAAAAAGACUGUUUGGCUCCCACUGAAAUGUAGCAUGCUCCAGUUCUCAAAGCAAGACCAUAGAGGGGGAAAAUAAAACACCUUGAACAUCUGGCUCCCCACCCCGACUCCAGCCCCUGAUGGGCUGGGGCAUCGCCAAGAUCCAGCUUAGAGAAGGGCUGCCAGAUGGCGCCAGGCAUCAAGGGUAGAGGGACGUGAUGAGGAUGACGAUGAAUGAGGACUUCCUGAGGAGGACUUCCGAAAGCCAUCAAGAGGACUGAGGUCCUUACCCAGCAGCUGUGGUGAUGCAGAAUGACCACUCCACGGCAGUCAGGAAACCUGCUUCUAGUUCUUUGCCACUAACUUGCUGAGUGACCUUGGGCAAGUCAGGUCACCUCUCUGGGCCUCAGUUUCCUCAUCUGUAAAAUUAGGGGACUUGGUUAAGUUAAAAAAAUACGUACCAGACCCUUACUCUGUGCACUGUGCUGAAGCUAUAAUACAAAAAAGGAAUAAGAUAGUCAUUUAUUCAAAAAACACUGAGUGAUUGCUCCAUUUACUAGGCAUUGUGGUUACAAAGAUGAGUAAGUCAGCGUCCCUGCCAACAAGGCAUUUUACAACCUGGUCAGGGAAACAGUGAGCAAAGAAGAAAUGGCCAACGCCCCCUUGGGUGCAAAGGUGUGGGAACAGGAAGGA